UACAUAAUAGUCUGAAAAAGUAGUCAAUCUGACCUGAGUCCUGUAGAAACGUCUGAUGCAGAUGAAGGCCCUAGCAUGAGUGGUGCUCAGAAGAAAGCAGUAAAGAUGGAGGUGCUGAUAAAAAGAGGCUGGUUCGCAGUGAGUGGAAUCAAGCCGGAGAUUCAUUUGUCAAAAAACCCAACAAUACACUCUUCUUCGACGGGAGGCAAAUAAGGAAAACAGGAUGGUAUAUUCCAGCUUGGCGUUCUCACCCAGGUCAGCGUCCGUUGCGGAGAUGCGUCCUAUCUCAGCGCCCGGGAUGGCCAGCUCGGAAACGGAGAAGGACCACAUACCUGGGGAGAGACACGCGACGGCACAUAUUAGAGGAGCGCUGUCAUUUCAUUAGCUCUGAUACGCUUCAUUUGUCAGUUAAACAUUUAAUUUUGUCUUUUGAAGUGUAUUCAAAUUGCUGUUCCCCACCUGCGCUGAGCUAAUAUUUACAACAUUUUGCUGCGAUAAGGCAGCGUUUAAAUUAAAAGAAGUGAGAGGAUGAAGGAGAGAGAUAAAAGCAGAGUGUGCAUUUGAGCGCUCUGCACAGAUAUUAUUAAAAGACAGGUAGAAUAUGGCCAGAAAACCUACUGUUAAAAAAAAAACUAAAUUAAAAGAACCUAAGAUUUUAAAAAAACAGAAGGGUUUGAGGAGAUAAAGAAAAAGAAAAGAUUACAGUAAAGAGAAGCUGCUCUGGCUCUCUGAGUUGUCCAUUCAUUCCUUCUGCUGAGACGUAUUAAUCAAGAUAACAGGCUCUUUCAUGUGUGUUGGUUUAUGUUUAGCUGUCAGCCCAUUAAAGCAGUACGUUAUCAGUCCUUUUGCUGGCUUUGCAGUUUACAUAAUAUGUCCCUCUUCUCAUCCAUCGGGCACACCUAUGUGAUAAAAGCAUGGAGGACCCAAAAAACUGAUAUUUCUAUAGAAAAAGCAGAUGCACAUGCACUUAAAUUCAAAUAGCCACCUUUCAGUUUGUCCUAGCACGCACACAGUGGCCACCGACAAGAAUAAGUGAGGUAGUGGAGAUAGAAAGUGAGUGAAAGGAAAAGGUAAGAUAUCACCAUUUGGCACGCACACACAGAACAGACAAGCUCAUUCAAACAGAGCUGUUAUCAGCUCAGCUAAAGCUAAAGGAAUCAGAUAGACCUGUAAAUGUGAGCGAGAACAACAUCACACAAACACACCGGGCUGACGGAAUAAAAGAUAGCCCACCCUCGACAAGUGUCUGGUCCCACAACACGCAAUCAGAAGAAUUCGGCAAAUUUGACAACAUCACAGUGAGACAAACUUUUGAGGUCAUGUGACUUUGUGGAUCGGGAUUACAGACAUCAAAGUCUUUUAUCCAUGGAAACCAAUGUUAUCGCUCACUGUGUUUGUUGUCUUUCCAAGUCUGUUAAUGUCAAAUCUGUAAUGUGGGCUUCCGUACUAGUGAUUGCAGUACUCUCCCUCCAACAAGUCCUCCAAGUUAAAGUUGGAUAAAACGGUCUUGUGAAACCUCAACAACAAAGCUUCUCUGAGAUAAGCUGAUGCAAAAAUAAAGAGGUUUAAGUUGGUUUUAUAAAUCCUAAGACACUCUUAAAAUAUUUAUUUUUUUUAUAUACAUUACUUGUUCAGUUAUUCAGAUUUUCCCAAGGCAAUUUUAAGACACUGUUACAGAAACAGCAAGUUUAAAUCUGAAGGUACACUGAGUUUUCAGAACAUUUCAGUUAACACCAUGAUGUUGCUAAUUUGCAGAAUAACAGAUUAACAUUGUCAUUUUUGAAGACACUAGUUUUGGCAGGAGAUGAUAUGACAACUGCUUCUGAAACAGCAGACAGAUGCAUCAUGUGCUGCGUGUGCUGGCUCUAAAUGUUUGCUUUACUUUUCUUCUGUAAAGAUAUCAUAGGGCUAUUCUCACAUCAACUGUUCUCACAGUACAAACCAAUUUGAACUAAUGGUAUCAAACCGAGAGAACAUUUAUUCAAGACUUCGCACAAGUUUUUGCAAAAUUCAGAGAUUUCUAUCCAGUGUUGAUACUUUGUUAGUUCUUAGUCCCCCUCAGAAUGCUUCUAUUCUUCCUGCAUUGGGAUGUACUGCCCAUGGAAGAAGAGGUAGGGAUGGCAGAGGCAUACCCUCAGAAAGACAACAAGAAAUAUCACAAGAUACUCGCGGACCUGGAGCCCACAAGAAUUUGUCAGCGGCCUAUGCUGCAAGGAGGGCAAAGGGCCUAUCUAACAUUGCAAUACAGCUGAACCAUGAAACAUAUAGCUUGUCACCUUUUUCAGGUAACACAAGUCUUAAGACCUCCUGGGAGGCAUUGUGAGGAAAACAGAUUCUUUCGCUGUCCACAUGCCACAAGCCUGAUUCAAGGAUUCAAAUUUUUGAGCAGCAUUAGAAAAAAAUGAAGCAAUUCUUAAAUUCUUAAAAUGUUUUGAGCUGCACAUUGUUACAGAAACACAGGAUAUUUUUAUUCCUAUUUGUCUGCUGUUUACAUGUAUAUGUAUCCUGGAUCUGAGUAAUUGAUGCAUGAGAAGGAUAGCUAAUUUGUCCUUCCGUGGGCAUUACAGUAGGUAAAAAAACAAAUACAUCACAGAUAGUUCUCAUUUUCUUUACUUGUAUUUUAUUUUUCAUGGGUUUAUGAAUAUCACCUCGGGGUACACCACAGGCUGGGUCUUGAUGGUGCUUUGAUACGGUUUACACCCUC
This is a long non-coding RNA of Oreochromis aureus, 2704 nucleotides long. RefSeq lists it as uncharacterized. The record is from RefSeq and is a predicted model, not a curated record. Lineage: Eukaryota; Metazoa; Chordata; Actinopteri; Cichliformes; Cichlidae. The transcript has 3 exons.